This 1169-nucleotide long non-coding RNA is filed under the name Heterocephalus glaber (naked mole-rat). RNAcentral's name for it is "lncRNA (ENSHGLG00000039221.1)". Lineage: Eukaryota; Metazoa; Chordata; Mammalia; Rodentia; Bathyergidae. The record is from RNAcentral.
GUAAAUGCCAUUACUUACUCAGUGCUAACUAACCAAUAACUGCUAAGUGAUAACACUGGAAAAGAAAAAUGUUUCAAUAAUGUUUGCUGUAGUAAUGCAAAGUUCUUUAGUAUAUAUUAACUCAUUUACUCCUCUAACCAACCCUAAGCAGCAGUUUGUAUUACUUAUGUAAUUAUUUCCACUGGGGGAAGGAGACUUGAGAGGUGAAGUGAAUUGUCCAAAGUCAAAUAGGAAAGUAGAAGAAUCAGUUUCCUGACUCCAAGUUCAAUCCUCCCUCCCCACCCUCCAAUUAUAACAAGUUUAACAUGUCUGAAGUGAAGUCCACUAGGCAACAGGGAUGGGAAGCUGUGCUGAAGCUGGGCAUAAGAGUUAUCAGCUGAGGGAUGCACUGGGACUACAGGCAUGAGAAGGACCAUUAAAGGAAUACCUAUGGCGGAGAGGAAGCCUGGAAAACGUAUCCUUGCCAGACAGAAAGACUCUAGCUGAGACAACUGUUUAAAGUAAACAAGGAAAACAAGCACACUACUUCCAUGCUGAAAAUAGCCACAGAUAAAUACAAAUGGAAAGCCUAGUCCUGGCAGCCAGCAGUUUCCUGAGCACCCCCUGCCUUAAAGUGCAAGGGCCCAAGGGUCUUCAGGUAAGCUGUGUGGAUGUUGUUUGGCACAGGUUCUCCUUUUACAGAAUGAAGAUCAAGGUGGAUAAAAUGAAGGAAGAAAUAGGUUCACAAAGGUACAUCUGACCAGAAACUGAUACCCAGGAUUUGUAAAGAACUCCUACAAUUCAGGAAAACAUACACCACCCAAUAAAAAGUGGACACAGAUGUUGAGUAGACGUCCCCCAAAGAAUGCCUGCUGAUUGCCAAGAAGCAUAUGAAGAGUCCUGACACCAUUAGUCACCGGGAAAUGCCAAUGGACGCUACACACAAUGGGGUGUCAGAGGCGCCCCUAGAAGACUGAUUCAAGAGACUGACCGCACCACACGUGGGCAAGAACGUGGAGCACCCAGAACUUGGCCAGUGCCGGUGGUGCAGUAGUGGUGAAACAGCAUAAUCACGCCUGGGAAGCAGCCCUAGUAGUGUCUCAUGAUAUUAAGUACACACAGAUUCUGUGACCAAGUGAUUCCACUCUGAAUAUGAUCAAUCCAGUAUGUCCACAAAAUACUGUUCUACG